GUCUUUUUGAGUUAUUUUUAAAGUCUGACCUGCCCACUGAAGUUAUUUAAAUGGCCGCAGUAUUCUAACUGUGCAAAGGUAGCAUAAUCAUUAGUCUUUUAAUUGAAGGCUGGUAUGAACGGUUGGACGAGGUAUAAGCUGUUUCAUAUAAAUUUAUAAUAGAAUUUUAUAUUUUAGUCAAAAAGCUAAAAUUUAAUUAAAAGACGAGAAGACCCUAUAAAUCUUUAUACUUUACAUUGUUUAAAUUUUUUAGAUUAAUUUUAUUUUUAUAAUUUAAAGUAUUUUGUUGGGGUGAUAUUAAAAUUUAAUGAACUUUUAAUUAUUUAGAAUCAUUAAUUUAUGAGUUAUUGAUCCAUUAGUAGUGAUUAUAAGAUUAAGUUACUUUAGGGAUAACAGCGUAAUUUUUUUGGAGAGUUCAUAUCGAUAAAAAAGUUUGCGACCUCGAUGUUGGAUUAAGAUAUAUUUUUAGGUGUAGCCGCUUAAAUGUGAAGUCUGUUCGACUUUUAAAUUCUU
This 513-nucleotide ribosomal RNA is filed under the name Bactrocera occipitalis. RNAcentral's name for it is "partial 16S ribosomal RNA". It matches the Rfam family "Bacterial large subunit ribosomal RNA", at positions 1829 to 2597 of the family's 2925-position model. Lineage: Eukaryota; Metazoa; Arthropoda; Insecta; Diptera; Tephritidae. The record is from RNAcentral.